This 1337-nucleotide ribosomal RNA is filed under the name Pnyxia scabiei. RNAcentral describes it as "16S ribosomal RNA". The stretch from base 1086 to 1245 matches the Rfam family "Archaeal large subunit ribosomal RNA", at positions 2544 to 2703 of the family's 2987-position model. Lineage: Eukaryota; Metazoa; Arthropoda; Insecta; Diptera; Sciaridae. The record is from RNAcentral.
GAUUAAUAAAUAGUUAUUAAUUUUUUUUUUUUUUUAUAUUUUAUUAAUUAAAAUAAUUUUAAAUUGAUUUUGUUUUGUAUAUUUUAUAAAUAAAAUAAUAUUUGUGAUAGUUAAAUUGUAUAGUAAUAGGAAUAUUAAAUAUUAAUUAAAGAAUUUAUAUAGUAAGAAAAUUUAAUUUAUUGUACCUUGUGUCUCAGGGAUAAUUAAUUAAUAUAUUUAUAUUUAAAUGUAUCUCGAUUAUAAAAGAUUUAUUAUUUUAUUUUUUAUAGUGUGGUAUAAUUAUAUAUAAUAAAAUAAUGGAAAUGAAAUGUUAUUCGUUUUUAUUUAUAUCUAGUUUUUUAAGAAAUAAAUUUAAUUUAUAUAUUUAGAUGAUAAUAAUUUAUUUUAUAAUUAUAUUAAAUUUAAAUAUAAAUUAUUAAAGGGAUAAGCUUUUAAUAAAAUUUUUAAAAAUUUUAUUAAAUUUAAAUAAAUAUAGAUUUAGAAUUAGUCAUUGUUAAUAAAUAUGUAAUAAUUUAUUUUAUUAUUAUUAUUGUAUUAUUUAUUUAAUUUUAAUUAUUAUAUUAAAAAUAUUAUUUAAAUUAAUUAAAUGAAGGUAUAAUGAUUAUAUUAGUAAAUUUAAUUUAAAAUAUAUUUAUAUUAAUUAUAUUUAAUUAAAUAAUUAGGCAAAUUAAAUAUUCACUUGUUUAUCAAAAACAUGUCUUUUUGAAGUUGUAUCUAAGGUUUGGCCUGCCCACUGAUUAGUUAUUUAAAUGGCCGCAGUAUUUUAACUGUGCAAAGGUAGCAUGAUCAUUAGUUUUUUAAUUGAAAACUUGUAUGAAUGGUUGAAUGAAAUAUUUACUGUUUUGAUUAAAUUAAUUGAAUUUUAUUUUUUAGUAAAAAAGCUAAGAUUUUAUUAAAAGACGAGAAGACCCUAUAGAGUUUUAUAUUUAAUUUAUGAGAGUUUUAUAGAUUUUUUUAUUAAUUUUUAUUGUAUUAAUAUAUUUAAUUGGGGUGAUAUUAAAAUUUGGUUAACUUUUAUUUUUAUAAAUAAUAAUAUUUAGAUUAAUGAUCCAUUGGUUAUGAUUAAAAGAUUAAAUUACCUUAGGGAUAACAGCGUUAUUUUUUUUUUAAGUUCAUAUUUAUAAAAAAUUUUGCGACCUCGAUGUUGGAUUAAGAUUAGUUUUAGGUGCAGAAGCUUAUAAUUUUAAGUCUGUUCGACUUUUAGAUUCUUACAUGAUCUGAGUUCAAACCGGUGUGAGCCAGGUUGGUUUCUAUCUUUAGUUAGUAUAUAAUUUUUAGUACGAAAGGACCAAUAUUAUUAUAUUUUUAUAUAAAAAUUGAAUAUAAGUAAUUAUUUU